This 347-nucleotide ribosomal RNA is filed under the name uncultured Streptococcus sp. Its description in RNAcentral is "bacterial SSU rRNA". It matches the Rfam family "Bacterial small subunit ribosomal RNA", at positions 1033 to 1382 of the family's 1533-position model. The record is from RNAcentral. Lineage: Bacteria; Bacillati; Bacillota; Bacilli; Lactobacillales; Streptococcaceae.
GACAGGUGGUGCAUGGUUGUCGUCAGCUCGUGUCGUGAGAUGUUGGGUUAAGUCCCGCAACGAGCGCAACCCUUAUUGUUAGUUGCCAUCAUUCAGUUGGGCACUCUAGCGAGACUGCCGGUAAUAAACCGGAGGAAGGUGGGAUGACGUCAAAUCAUCAUGCCCCUUAUGACCUGGGCUACACACGUGCUACAAUGGUUGGUACAACGAGUUGCGAGUCGGUGACGGCGAGCUAAUCUCUUAAAGCCAAUCUCAGUUCGGAUUGUAGGCUGCAACUCGCCUACAUGAAGUCGGAAUCGCUAGUAAUCGCGUAUCAGCGCGACGCGGUGAAUACGUUCCCGGGCCUU